AAUCAACGCUGGCGGCGUGCCUAACACAUGCAAGUCGAACGCGAAAGGGGAGCAAUCCCUGAGUAGAGUGGCAAACGGGUGAGUAACACGUGGGUGACCUGCCUUCGAGUGGGGGAUAACGUCCCGAAAGGGACGCUAAUACCGCAUGACAUCCUGCUCUUGGAAGAGCGGAGAUCAAAGCUGGGGAUCGCAAGACCUGGCGCUUGAAGAGGGGCCCGCGCCUGAUUAGCUAGUUGGUAGGUAAUGCCUACCAAGGCAACGAUCAGUAUCCGGCCUGAGAGGGCGGACGGACACACUGGGACUGAGACACGGGCCCAGACUCCUACGGGAGGCAGCAGUGGGGAAUUGUUCGCAAUGGGCGCAAGCCUGACGACGCAACGCCGCGUGGA
This 389-nucleotide ribosomal RNA is filed under the name uncultured bacterium. Its description in RNAcentral is "bacterial SSU rRNA". It matches the Rfam family "Bacterial small subunit ribosomal RNA", at positions 29 to 405 of the family's 1533-position model. The record is from RNAcentral.